Molecule: ribosomal RNA, 585 nt
Filed under: uncultured bacterium
Lineage: Bacteria
Description: partial 16S ribosomal RNA
Rfam family: Bacterial small subunit ribosomal RNA
Source: RNAcentral
UGGGGAAUUUUGGACAAUGGGGGCAACCCUGAUCCAGCAAUGCCGCGUGUGUGAAGAAGGCCUUCGGGUUGUAAAGCACUUUUGUCCGGAAAGAAAACGUCGUGGUUAAUACCCGUGGCGGCUGACGGUACCGGAAGAAUAAGCACCGGCUAACUACGUGCCAGCAGCCGCGGUAAUACGUAGGGUGCAAGCGUUAAUCGGAAUUACUGGGCGUAAAGCGUGCGCAGGCGGUCCGCUAAGACAGAUGUGAAAUCCCCGGGCUUAACCUGGGAACUGCAUUUGUGACUGGCGGGCUAGAGUAUGGCAGAGGGGGGUAGAAUUCCACGUGUAGCAGUGAAAUGCGUAGAGAUGUGGAGGAAUACCGAUGGCGAAGGCAGCCCCCUGGGCCAAUACUGACGCUCAUGCACGAAAGCGUGGGGAGCAAACAGGAUUAGAUACCCUGAUAGUCCACGCCCUAAACGAUGUCAACUAGUUGUCGGGUCUUCAUUGACUUGGUAACGUAGCUAACGCGUGAAGUUGACCGCCUGGGGAGUACGGUCGCAAGAUUAAAACUCAAAUGAAUUGACGGGGUCUAGCUGUUUCCUG